This 346-nucleotide ribosomal RNA is filed under the name uncultured bacterium. RNAcentral describes it as "bacterial SSU rRNA". It matches the Rfam family "Bacterial small subunit ribosomal RNA", at positions 28 to 363 of the family's 1533-position model. The record is from RNAcentral.
GAUGAACGCUAGCUACAGGCUUAACACAUGCAAGUCGAGGGGAAACGACAUCGAAAGCUUGCUUUUGAUGGGCGUCGACCGGCGCACGGGUGAGUAACGCGUAUCCAACCUGCCCACCACUUGGGGAUAACCUUGCGAAAGUAAGACUAAUACCCAAUGAUAUCCCACGAAGGCAUCCGAAUGGGAUUAAAGAUUUAUCGGUGAUGGAUGGGGAUGCGUCUGAUUAGCUUGUUGGCGGGGUAACGGCCCACCAAGGCUACGAUCAUAGGGGUUCUGAGAGGAAGGUCCCCCCACAUUGGAACUGAGACACGGUCCAAACUCCUACGGGAGGCAGCAGUGAGGAAUA